Molecule: ribosomal RNA, 527 nt
Filed under: uncultured bacterium
Lineage: Bacteria
Description: bacterial SSU rRNA
Rfam family: Bacterial small subunit ribosomal RNA
Source: RNAcentral
AGAGUUUGAUCCUGGCUCAGAUUGAACGCUGGCGGCAGGCCUAACACAUGCAAGUCGAACGGUAGCACAGAGAGCUUGCUCUUGGGUGACGAGUGGCGGACGGGUGAGUAAUGUAUGGGGAUCUGCCCGAUAGAGGGGGAUAACUACUGGAAACGGUAGCUAAUACCGCAUAAUCUCUAAGGAGCAAAGCAGGGGAACUUCGGUCCUUGCGCUAUCGGAUGAACCCAUAUGGGAUUAGCUAGUUGGUGAGGUAAUGGCUCACCAAGGCGACGAUCCCUAGCUGGUCUGAGAGGAUGAUCAGCCACACUGGGACUGAGACACGACCCAGACUCCUACGGGAGGCAGCAGUGGGGAAUAUUGCACAAUGGGGGAAACCCUGAUGCAGCCAUGCCGCGUGUGUGAAGAAGGCCUUCGGGUUGUAAAGUACUUUCAGCGAGGAGGAAGGCGUUGUGGUUAAUAACCGCAGCGAUUGACGUUACUCGCAGAAGAAGCACCGGCUAACUCCGUGCCAGCAGCCGCGGUAAUAC